CUAAUGAAGUGGUUUGUUUUGGUUUGUUUUUUAAUCUGUCUGGCUUCUUACUUGUUUAGGAACUACAACAGAGAGAUCUAGUCCUGGUUGAAACCAGUCAGAGAGAUGAUGAUCCCUAAAGACAGCAGUGAGAUUAAACAGUUCGAGAAAGAUCCCUAUUCUAGCUAGCUACCAGUUUCAGGACCUUUCACAGCAAUAACUUGAUCAAAGCUUCAGCCUUGAAGAAUUGCAUGACCAGGCAGAGAUCCAUCCUCAUAUCUUCACAAGGAAAAAGAGCUUUGGCAUUGAGCUUAUUGGAGUUGGAAAGCUGCUGUAUGUUAACUCUGGAUAGAGGACCAAAAACCCCUCAUAAAUUUACAUGCUGUGGUAUGCUAUAUUUCAGGGGAUCAAGUAGAAACAACCUGCAGAUGACAUCCAGUUAUCCAGAUAACAUCCAGUUCCUGGCAGGACUAUGUCAACAGGCCUCUCGUCUUUCUAAAUCUUUCCAACAGAACAAGAUGAUCCUCUACUGCCAUCCUGGAUAACCCCAGAAAAUCAUGGGUGGUGUAGAAAUGGAUGAAGAUAAGUGAAUAUUGGCACUUGCCAGUUAAUGAACUGGAAUUUUUCUAUCAUCUGAUCAGGCAAAAAUGGAUAAAAGAGAGAAAAUAAAGAGAUUUGUCCAUGGUCACAAA
Strigops habroptila (Kakapo) is the source of this 671-nucleotide long non-coding RNA. RefSeq lists it as uncharacterized. Lineage: Eukaryota; Metazoa; Chordata; Aves; Psittaciformes; Psittacidae. The record is from RefSeq and is a predicted model, not a curated record. The transcript is spliced from 4 exons.